GACGGAACGCUGGCGGCGUGCCUAACACAUGCAAGUCGAGCGGGGGACAUUGGAGCUUCGGUUCUGAUGUUCUAGCGGCGGACGGGUGAGUAAACGCGUGAGCAAUCUGUCCCAUACAGGGGGAUAACAGCUGGAAACAGCUGCUAAUACCGCAUGAGACCACAACGUCACAUGACGAAGGGGGUCAAAGGAGCAAAUCCCGGUAUGGGGGUGAGCUCGCGUCCCAUUAGGUAGUUGGUGAGGUAACGGCCCACCAAGCCGACGAUGGGUAGCCGACCUGAGAGGGUGAUCGGCCACACUGGAACUGAGACAC
Molecule: ribosomal RNA, 313 nt
Filed under: uncultured bacterium
Lineage: Bacteria
Description: bacterial SSU rRNA
Rfam family: Bacterial small subunit ribosomal RNA
Source: RNAcentral